RNAcentral lists this ribosomal RNA (300 nucleotides) under Triticum aestivum (bread wheat). Its description in RNAcentral is "partial small subunit ribosomal RNA". The record is from RNAcentral. Lineage: Eukaryota; Viridiplantae; Streptophyta; Magnoliopsida; Poales; Poaceae.
AGGGUCAGGGUUAUCCUUAAGCUUGACUUUGAGAAAGCGUACGACAAAGUUAACUGGGAUUUCCUUCUCGACUGUCAUGUUAAACGAGGGUUUAAUGACAAAUGGUGUGGUUGGGUUUCUCAAAUUCUUCGUAAUGGUACGGUUAGUGUCAAGAUUAAUGAUGAGACGGGUCCGUAUAUCCAGAGUGCUAAAGGGGUCCGACAGGGGGAUCCUUUCUCCCCUUUCUUAUUCAACUUGGCGGCUGAGUGCCUCACUAAGUGUUGGAAAUAUGCCCUAGAGAUCACAUCAUUAGGAGAAUGA